RNAcentral lists this ribosomal RNA (324 nucleotides) under uncultured eukaryote. RNAcentral's name for it is "partial 18S ribosomal RNA". It matches the Rfam family "Eukaryotic small subunit ribosomal RNA", at positions 1470 to 1796 of the family's 1831-position model. The record is from RNAcentral.
CCCUUAGAUGUUCUGGGCUGCACGCGCGCUACACUGAUGCGAUCAGCAAGUUUUUCCUAUGUCGAUAGACACGGGUAAUCUUUUGAACUCGCAUCGUGAUGGGGAUAGAUUAUUGUAAUUAUUAAUCUUCAACGAGGAAUUCCUAGUAGGUGCAAAUCAUCAGUUUGCAUCGAUUACGUCCCUGCCCUUUGUACACACCGCCCGUCGCUGCUACCGAUUGGUUGAUCUGGUGAAUUAUUCGGACUGCCGGCUGAAGGGGUUUCCUCAUCUGCCAGCGGAAAGUCUUGUUAACCCUAUCAACUAGAGGAAGCAGAAGUCGUAACA